AUUAAAUGCCUCUUUCCAUCGACUUCCACGACGUGCGGCAGUUCCUGCGUGACAGCAGUCACGAACUCCUAAAAUGAAGUAAUUUAAAUGAAUUCACAUGAGUGGAUGAGGAUUGUCUGCAAAAUAUGCAUUGGAUUAAGUUCCUCAGCUUCAUAUCGGUGCCCAAAUCAAUCCCAAAAGGGCAAAGGUGACUGCAACAGGAAUCGGUCAGCCGAAACCGCCACGACUCGCAUCCAACCGAGCGACCGACCUAGAGUCCUUCCUAAUCUUGCACAGUUCAGUUUGUAGCAGUUGGCAAUGCCGGGGUGCCGCUCGUUCGUUCCUUGCGCCUUAUUUAGGGUGCGACCCGACCGACCGACCGACCACCAAUACCACUGCAAACGCAACAGUCGUCCUGGCUGGCCGGCCGCGCGCGCUUUCCGAGCGAAGGGUGCAGAGAAUUUCCAUCGAUGACGACGACGACGACGAUUGUUGCGAUGUCAAUGAGCGCGAAGAGAAUCAUGUCCUUUCGGCGCGGGCACACCCGGUAACAACACCAGGCGUUCGCCACGGGAGCAGGAAGGAGACAGCAUCUCUCCAUGCGCUCGGUAGCUGAAGAGAGAUGGAAGCACACGAGAUGAUUAGAGCGAACCCUCCCGUUAUAGAGAAAACUACCCCUUGUUGGACGCAAUCAGAGACUAGGGUAGUCAUCGUCGGCGUUCGUGUCGGUAGAGCGCCACCGCCAAGAGGCCGGUUUCGGAGUCGAAGUCGAAAGCGAACGCACAGUAGAAUAGUGAUAUAGGCGAGUCCCGGAGCAGUAGUUGCUAGAAGACAUAGCCGCCCAAACGAAGGACCAGUUUUCCUAGAGUUUCCCGUACAUAAAAUCACUGCCACCAGAGCCGGGAUUGAGGUAUCCGGAAUCCGGAAUUGAUCGCGAGUAUCGUUUGAUCCGAGGAACGACGGCUUCCAGCAGAAGAAUGCUUUAAUUCGAAGUAAUCGGACUAGUGAUCGCAGGCUGUGUGUUCUGCAAAUCGAAAAGCCGAGAAAAAAGGGUGUGGAAGCUACAGUUUUCAUCUUGCAUGAGUCGAAGCCCACCGCGCUAGAGUCGGAAAAUCCGGAUGCCAAGUGCACAAAUCGGAGGCCAAACAUAGUUCUAAGCCAAAACCAAACUUUCGUGUGUGAUAUUUUCCGUUUUCGAUCGAAUGAUAUACAUAUUUAUAUGAAUCCCAAAAAGGAGGGUGUGUGAUAUAUUAUACACAUUUUGGUGAAGUCGAGGACGAAGAGUGCAAGAGUUGCCAACUGUUAGACAUCGAACGAC
Long non-coding RNA from Aedes aegypti (yellow fever mosquito), 1297 nucleotides. RefSeq lists it as uncharacterized. The record is from RefSeq and is a predicted model, not a curated record. The transcript has 2 exons. NCBI's taxonomy places the organism in Eukaryota, Metazoa, Arthropoda, Insecta, Diptera, Culicidae.